RNAcentral lists this unclassified non-coding RNA (253 nucleotides) under uncultured Hymenobacteraceae bacterium. Its description in RNAcentral is "contains 16S-23S intergenic spacer region". It matches the Rfam family "Bacterial small subunit ribosomal RNA", at positions 524 to 776 of the family's 1533-position model. Lineage: Bacteria; Pseudomonadati; Bacteroidota; Cytophagia; Cytophagales; Hymenobacteraceae. The record is from RNAcentral.
UACGGAGGGUGCAAGCGUUGUCCGGAUUUAUUGGGUUUAAAGGGUGCAUAGGCGGCCCUUUAAGUCUGAUGUGAAAGCCCACGGCUCAACCCUGGAACUGCCAUUGAUACUGAUGGGCUUGAGUUCGGUCGAGGCGGGCGGAACUGGUGGUGUAGCGGUGAAAUGCAUAGAUACCACCAAGAACCCCGAUUGCGUAGGCAGCUCGCUAGGCCGAAACUGACGCUGAGGCACGAAAGCGUGGGGAGCGAACAGG